This 535-nucleotide ribosomal RNA is filed under the name Cyathopoma taiwanicum. Its description in RNAcentral is "partial 16S ribosomal RNA". The record is from RNAcentral. Lineage: Eukaryota; Metazoa; Mollusca; Gastropoda; Architaenioglossa; Cyclophoridae.
UGGCGAGAGAAAUGAUUAAAUUAUAAUUCUCGAAGUCUGAAGAGCUAUUUUAAAAAACAUUUUAGUGAAUAAUAUUUAAAUGUAGAAAAAUUUUUUAGAAAAUUUAAAAUAGUAAUGAUAUGUUAUUCGAAUCAGAGGAUAGCUAGUUAUAAUAUAAAUAUAUUUAAGUAUAAAUAUUAAUAUAUUUAAAAGCUAUAUAAAGUUUUUAAAUGAUUAAUAAUUUAAUUAUAUAAGGUUAAGCUUAUAUAAUUUUAUAGAUUAUUUAUUUCUUGAAAAAAUAUUUAGGUUUUUAAUUGAUUAUAAUUUGAAGUUUGUUAUGAAAUAUUAAAAAUAAAAAAUAUUAUGUUAUUGUGAUAUAUUAUUAAAUUUAAUAAUAAAAUUAUUUUGUAAUAAUGCUAGAAUAAGUAUUAAUAUAAUUUGUAAUAAUAAUGUAUAAUAUAUAUAAAAUUAUUAUUAAAAUAAUAUAGUGAGAAAUAUAAUAAGAUGAACUCGGCAAAAUAAUCUUCUACCUGUUUAACAAAAACAUGUCUCUUUG